Molecule: ribosomal RNA, 446 nt
Filed under: uncultured bacterium
Lineage: Bacteria
Description: partial 16S ribosomal RNA
Rfam family: Bacterial small subunit ribosomal RNA
Source: RNAcentral
CCUACGGUGCGCAGCAGUCGAGAAUCAUUCACAAUGGGGGAAACCCUGAUGGUGCGACGCCGCGUGGGGGAAUGAAGGUCUUCGGAUUGUAAACCCCUGUCAUGUGGGAGCAAAUUAAAAAGAUAGUACCACAAGAGGAAGAGACGGCUAACUCUGUGCCCGCAGCCGCGGUAAUACAGAGGUCUCAAGCGUUGUUAGGAAUCACUGGGCGUAAAGCGUGCGUAGGAUGUUUCGUAACUCGUGUGUAAAAGGCGCGGGCUAAACACGCGGACGGCAAAGGAUACUGCGAGACUAGAGUAAUGGAGGGGGAACCGGAAUUCGCGGUGUAGCAGUGAAAUGCGUAGAUAUCGAGAGGAACACUCGUGGCGAAGGCGGGUUCCUGGACAUUAACGGACGCUGAGGCACGAAGGCCAGGGGAGCGAAAGGGAUUAGAUACCCGGGUAGUC